GGAACGGAAAAAUGCUGAACCAGCGAAGUUCCAUAAGAAAGUAGAGAAACUGACACGUGGCGCCCUCGUCAGACGCCGUCACCACACGACAAUUAACCAAGAUCAUCAAAAAUGAAUCAAACUUUCUUCAAAGUACCCCAAUAUAGUAUUCUUGACAAUUGGUAUAACCUGGGCUAGUACUACUUCCGUGUAGUACUAUAGAAUAUUCUCUGAUUAACUAUAAUUCAAACAACCUUUUCUCUUCUCUGUUCGGAAAUAGAAAAUUCUACAUUACUUUAACUGCUUUAUACUAAAGAAAUUGCGAACAAUCAUACACUUAUCGUUAUACCCUACAAUUAAUUUUCAGAGCGCGUUAAUAAUCGUCUUAAAUAGAAAUCCAUAAUGCUAAUUUUUUCUAGCCUGUUAUGUCAACUAUUUUUCUCAUUCGGUUUUUUCAUUGACACUCACGAUACAGAUUGAGAUCUCGUUUGUUACAAGUGCUCGCAGAGAUUUCUUCAGUGAGUUUAUAGUAGUUGGCCCGCCGUAGCAGAAACAUUCUAUGUGUCCACGGAGAAGGCUACAAAAUGAGAUCGCUGCUGGCCUCAGCGAAAGCGAGGAUGCGAUACUAACGUAGAGUGCAAACCCAAGCACUUUGACUUGGGCACAUGUUGUGCCAACUCAGCGAAAAUGCAAGCUCAUAUCAUCAAAAGGAGGAGAGGCAAGGAAGCGAGAUUAAGCCCUUGUUCGACAGCUGGCAACGUAUAUCAUACGUAAUACACGUACGGUUCGUAACAUGGAGGAGCAAUGUGUCGAGGAAGUGCGCUCAGAAAGAACAUUUUUAUUUAUUAUACAGUUCCGCGCAUGAAUAAACGAUUACGAUGAUGAAAUAUAUACCCAAUGUUACUAUGUUAAUUAUAAACUUUAGUUCCUCCUCGCACUCGCGAAUGAUUUUUACGAUAUGAAUUUGUAUUAUAAACUGAGGUUUUGUUAAAAUUUUAUCAAUUAACGAAUAGUACUUGGAGGACCCACACAUCAUAUUGUACGUAAUGUUUACAACUUAUAAGGUUCGCUUGUCAAUGUUCCUCACAGCAAUGAAAGCUUCUCAAAAGUUAUCAAAAGAUAUUCCAGAACGAGUUAAAAAUUCAUCGGGCUUUUAGAACGAACGUUUCGACUAAGCGGUCGAAUUCAACCCUUUAGCUUAAUCUCAGUGUGCAACAGAGUUUUUCGAGUUACAGAUACAACGAUGAAGGGUGGCGGAGAGGAAGGUGGUGAG
Bombus pascuorum is the source of this 1252-nucleotide long non-coding RNA. RefSeq lists it as uncharacterized. The record is from RefSeq and is a predicted model, not a curated record. Lineage: Eukaryota; Metazoa; Arthropoda; Insecta; Hymenoptera; Apidae. The transcript has 3 exons.